This 1466-nucleotide ribosomal RNA is filed under the name Escherichia coli. RNAcentral's name for it is "partial 23S ribosomal RNA". It matches the Rfam family "Bacterial large subunit ribosomal RNA", at positions 418 to 1869 of the family's 2925-position model. The record is from RNAcentral. Lineage: Bacteria; Pseudomonadati; Pseudomonadota; Gammaproteobacteria; Enterobacterales; Enterobacteriaceae.
CGGGACACGUGGUAUCCUGUCUGAAUAUGGGGGGACCAUCCUCCAAGGCUAAAUACUCCUGACUGACCGAUAGUGAACCAGUACCGUGAGGGAAAGGCGAAAAGAACCCCGGCGAGGGGAGUGAAAAAGAACCUGAAACCGUGUACGUACAAGCAGUGGGAGCACGCUUAGGCGUGUGACUGCGUACCUUUUGUAUAAUGGGUCAGCGACUUAUAUUCUGUAGCAAGGUUAACCGAAUAGGGGAGCCGAAGGGAAACCGAGUCUUAACUGGGCGUUAAGUUGCAGGGUAUAGACCCGAAACCCGGUGAUCUAGCCAUGGGCAGGUUGAAGGUUGGGUAACACUAACUGGAGGACCGAACCGACUAAUGUUGAAAAAUUAGCGGAUGACUUGUGGCUGGGGGUGAAAGGCCAAUCAAACCGGGAGAUAGCUGGUUCUCCCCGAAAGCUAUUUAGGUAGCGCCUCGUGAAUUCAUCUCCGGGGGUAGAGCACUGUUUCGGCAAGGGGGUCAUCCCGACUUACCAACCCGAUGCAAACUGCGAAUACCGGAGAAUGUUAUCACGGGAGACACACGGCGGGUGCUAACGUCCGUCGUGAAGAGGGAAACAACCCAGACCGCCAGCUAAGGUCCCAAAGUCAUGGUUAAGUGGGAAACGAUGUGGGAAGGCCCAGACAGCCAGGAUGUUGGCUUAGAAGCAGCCAUCAUUUAAAGAAAGCGUAAUAGCUCACUGGUCGAGUCGGCCUGCGCGGAAGAUGUAACGGGGCUAAACCAUGCACCGAAGCUGCGGCAGCGACGCUGAUGCGUUGUUGGGUAGGGGAGCGUUCUGUAAGCCUGUGAAGGUGUGCUGUGAGGCAUGCUGGAGGUAUCAGAAGUGCGAAUGCUGACAUAAGUAACGAUAAAGCGGGUGAAAAGCCCGCUCGCCGGAAGACCAAGGGUUCCUGUCCAACGUUAAUCGGGGCAGGGUGAGUCGACCCCUAAGGCGAGGCCGAAAGGCGUAGUCGAUGGGAAACAGGUUAAUAUUCCUGUACUUGGUGUUACUGCGAAGGGGGGACGGAGAAGGCUAUGUUGGCCGGGCGACGGUUGUCCCGGUUUAAGCGUGUAGGCUGGUUUUCCAGGCAAAUCCGGAAAAUCAAGGCUGAGGCGUGAUGACGAGGCACUACGGUGCUGAAGCAACAAAUGCCCUGCUUCCAGGAAAAGCCUCUAAGCAUCAGGUAACAUCAAAUCGUACCCCAAACCGACACAGGUGGUCAGGUAGAGAAUACCAAGGCGCUUGAGAGAACUCGGGUGAAGGAACUAGGCAAAAUGGUGCCGUAACUUCGGGAGAAGGCACGCUGAUAUGUAGGUGAAGCGACUUGCUCGUGGAGCUGAAAUCAGUCGAAGAUACCAGCUGGCUGCAACUGUUUAUUAAAAACACAGCACUGUGCAAACACGAAAGUGGACGUAUACGGUGUGACGCCUGCCCGGUGC